GAUGAACGCUGGCGGCGUGCCUAAUACAUGCAAGUCGAGCGAACGGACGAGAAGCUUGCUUUUCUGAUGUUAGCGGCGGACGGGUGAGUAACACGUGGAUAACCUACCUAUAAGACUGGGAUAACUUCGGGAAACCGGAGCUAAUACCGGAUAAUAUUUUGAACCGCAUGGUUCAAAAGUGAAAGACGGUCUUGCUGUCACUUAUAGAUGGAUCCGCGCUGCAUUAGCUAGUUGGUAAGGUAACGGCUUACCAAGGCAACGAUGCAUAGCCGACCUGAGAGGGGGAUCGCCCACACUGGAACUGAGACACGGUCCAGACUCCUACGGGAGGCAGCAGUAGGGAAUCUUCCGCAAUGGGCGAAAGCCUGACGGAGCAACGCCGAGUGAGUGAUGAAGGUCUUCGGAUCGUAAAACUCUGUUAUGAGGGAAGAACAUAUGUGUAAGUAACUGUGCACAGCUUGACGGUACCUAAUCAGAAAGCCACGGCUAACUACGUG
Molecule: ribosomal RNA, 497 nt
Filed under: uncultured bacterium
Lineage: Bacteria
Description: partial 16S ribosomal RNA
Rfam family: Bacterial small subunit ribosomal RNA
Source: RNAcentral